Molecule: ribosomal RNA, 1733 nt
Filed under: human metagenome
Description: bacterial LSU rRNA
Rfam family: Bacterial large subunit ribosomal RNA
Source: RNAcentral
CUAAACCUUAAAUAUGUCAAGGAUACAGCCGUUGUAUUUAGGGGGUUGAGGGACAGAGUAGUGAAGAACUGUAAGAUAUUCAAUAUAGUGUAUUGAUGAAUUGGAAUUGUCUGGAAAGGCGAACCGUAGAAGGUGAAAGUCCUGUACAAGUAAAUCCUUACACAUAUAACUCUGCUCCCAAGUAACAUGGAACACGAGGAAUUCUGUGUGAAUCUGUGAGGACCAUAUCUCAUAAGGCUAAAUACUCUUACUAACCGAUAGCGCAUAGUACCGUGAGGGAAAGGUGAAAAGAACCCCUGGAGGGGAGUGAAAUAGAACCUGAAAUUGUGUGCUUACAAGCGGUCAGAGCCAGUAAUGGUGAUGGCGUGCCUUUUGGAGAAUGAUCCUGCGAGUUACGUUAAACGGCGAGGUUAAGUAUAACGGAGCCGAAGGGAAACCAAGUCUUAAUAGGGCGAUUUAGUCGUUUGGCGUAGACGCGAAACCUGGUGAUCUAAACCUGUCCAGGAUGAAGCUGUGGUAAGACACAGUGGAGGUCCUAACCCACCGCCGUUGAAAAGUUGGGGGAUGAGGUAGGUUUAGGGGUGAAAAGCCAAUCGAACCAGGAGAUAGCUCGUUCUCUCCGAAAUGCAUCUAGGUGCAGCCUUGAGUGUUCAAUUAUGGGGGUAGAGCACUGAAUGAUCUAGGGGGCAUAUUGCUUACUGAAAUCAAUCAAACUCCGAAUACCAUAAUUUAUAGCUCAGGAGUGAGACUAUGGGAGUUAACUUCCAUUGUCAAAAGGGAAACAACCCAGACCACCAGCUAAGGUCCCUAAUUAUAACUAAGUGGGAAAGGAGGUGGAGAUUCACAAACAACUAGGAGGUUGGCUUAGAAGCAGCCAUACCUUUAAAGAGUGCGUAAUAGCUCACUAGUCGAGAGUCUCUGCGCCGACAAUGUAACGGGGCUAAGUUAUAAACCGAAGCUGUGGAAUCCUUUUGGAUUGGUAGGAGAGCGUUCUGUAGGCCGUUGAAGAAGAAGGGUAACCGACUUUGGAGGUAUCAGAAGUGAGAAUGCAGGAAUAAGUAGCGAGAAAGGGGGCGAGAAUCCCCCUCGCCGGAAGACCAAGGUUUUCAGGGUAAAGCUUGUCUUCCCUGAGUAAGCCGGGACCUAAGCCCAGGCUAUAAUGCGUAGGCGAAUGGAAAACAGAUUAAUAUUUCUGUGCCAGUCAUUUAUUGUGAUGGAGGGACGCAGAAGGGUAUGCGCGCGGACGAACGGAAGUGUCCGUAGAAGUAUGUAGGAUGACUUGAUAGGUAAAUCCAUUGAGUUAUAUCUGAGGUAUGAUAUACAGUCGUAAGAUGAAUGUGCAAAUCCCACGCUGCCAAGAAAAGCUUCUAGCGUUAAUAUAUGACUGCCCGUACUGUAAACCGACACAGGUGGUCAGGAUGAGAAAUCUAAGGCGGACAGGCUAACUCUCGUUAAGGAACUCUGCAAAAUAACCUCGUAACUUCGGGAGAAGAGGAGCCCUUGAGUGUUAGUAUCCAUGCGAUACAAAGCGCUCGAGGGUCGCAGUGAAGAGGCUCAAGCAACUGUUUAACAAAAACACAGGUCUAUGCUAAGCUGGAAGGCGAUGUAUAUGGGCUGACACCUGCCCAGUGCUGGAAGGUUAAGAGGAGGAGUGAGAGCUCCGAAUUGAAGCCCCAGUGAACGGCGGCCGUAACUAUAACGGUCCUAAGGUAGCGAAAUUCCUUGUCGGGUAA